This 465-nucleotide ribosomal RNA is filed under the name uncultured bacterium. RNAcentral describes it as "bacterial SSU rRNA". It matches the Rfam family "Bacterial small subunit ribosomal RNA", at positions 338 to 795 of the family's 1533-position model. The record is from RNAcentral.
CCUACGGGUGGCAGCAGUAGGGAAUCUUCCACAAUGGGCGCAAGCCUGAUGGAGCAACGCCGCGUGUGUGAUGAAGGCUUUCGGGUCGUAAAGCACUGUUGUAUGGGAAGAACGGGUUUAAGAGGAAAUGCUUAAACAGUGACGGUACCAUACCAGAAAGGGACGGCUAAAUACGUGCCAGCAGCCGCGGUAAUACGUAUGUCCCGAGCGUUAUCCGGAUUUAUUGGGCGUAAAGCGAGCGCAGACGGUUGCUUAAGUCUGAAGUGAAAGCCCACAGCUCAACUGUGGAAUGGCUUUGGAAACUGGGCAACUUGAGUGCAGUAGAGGUAAGUGGAACUCCAUGUGUAGCGGUGGAAUGCGUAGAUAUAUGGAAGAACACCAGUGGCGAAGGCGGCUUACUGGACUGCAACUGACGUUGAGGCUCGAAAGUGUGGGUAGCAAACAGGAUUAGAUACCCUCGUAGUC